Vigna unguiculata (cowpea) is the source of this 220-nucleotide long non-coding RNA. NCBI's taxonomy places the organism in Eukaryota, Viridiplantae, Streptophyta, Magnoliopsida, Fabales, Fabaceae. The record is from RefSeq and is a predicted model, not a curated record.
CCCUAAUUCCACACUUCUUGCAUUUUCAGAAAACCUUGCUGCAGCCGUCAACCCCCUCUGCUAGGGUUCCGCCCCCGCUGUUACGUGAGCCAGGAAGUUCCGUUACUCCAUCCCUAUAGUGCAUCCUUGGAGCUGCCGUGCUCGUGGUCACAUAGUAGAGGUCUUCGCUAAGUUUUCCAGAUGGGCGAGGUUCUCAUGGUCAACAAGCGAAUGGUGAUUC